Molecule: long non-coding RNA, 664 nt
Organism: Brachypodium distachyon (stiff brome)
Lineage: Eukaryota; Viridiplantae; Streptophyta; Magnoliopsida; Poales; Poaceae
Exons: 3
Source: RefSeq, a predicted model, not a curated record
UGACAAAGAUGAAAGCAUAGGUUGGUUACAUGAAGAUGCGAUUGUUGGUUGAUUAUCUUCGGGUGUUUUUUGUGUUUUCAGGCAUUAGCGACAUAUACGGACAUACAACCCAUUUAAAAACCAUUUUUCUCUUAUUACCAAUUAUAGCACUAUAAUUCAUAGAAAUUCUUUGAUUUCUUUUUAAGUGCAGGGAUAGGCAGAAUCUGAGAUUCCACUAGGAAAAGUGGAGCUUGAGGAUUGUCUACAGAAUAAAAUGUUUAGGGGUAAGAUGCUCAGGUUGAGAAUCAGAGAGCGCUGGUGGUUCCUGUCAUGUGAUGUCUGCACGUCCAAAGCCUUUGAAGAUUGUGAUGCCUACAAAUGCAGAAACAGCUAUACUACUAGGACUGCUACACCAAGAUACAAACUGGCUAUCAUGGCGGCUGAUGAGGGUUCAGCUGUGGAGAUGGUGUUUUUUACGGUGAAAAUGCUGAGAGUUUAAUAGGGAAUCGGGCUGAUGUUUAGUGGCAGAUUCUUACAGCCUAAGAUUCUAUCCCUCGUGAAAUUUUUGCGUUGAUUGGGAGGAAAUAUGUUGUUGAUGCGGCCGUUUCACUGUAUUCAUUUCACAGGGCCAACAUAUCGUCUCAGGUUCUCAAGUUUUAUCCUGAAGGUGGUGAAAUUUUUCUCA